GAUGAAGAACGGAGCGAAAUGCGAUACUUGGUGUGAAUUGCAGAAUCCCGUGAACCAUCGAGUCUUUGAACGCAAGUUGCGCCCGAAGCCAUUAGGCCGAGGGCACGCCUGCCUGGGCGUCACACGUCGUUGCCCCCCCAUCUACUCCUUCGGGAUUGCGGGGGGCGGAUGAUGGCCUCCCGUGCGCCUCGUCGCGCGGUUGGCAUAAAUACCAAGUCCUCGGCGACGCACGCCACGACAAUCGGUGGUUGCGAAACCUCGGUUGCCCGUCGUGUGCGGUCGUCGCGCAUCGAGGGCUCGAAAAAAUUGCCGGGCUCCGGCUCGGCUUUCAACGCGACCCCAGGUCAGGAGGGGUUACCCGCUGAAUUUAAGCAUAUCAAUAAGCGGAGGA
This 391-nucleotide unclassified non-coding RNA is filed under the name soil metagenome. Its description in RNAcentral is "partial contains 5.8S ribosomal RNA, internal transcribed spacer 2, and large subunit ribosomal RNA". The stretch from base 1 to 122 matches the Rfam family "5.8S ribosomal RNA", at positions 35 to 154 of the family's 154-position model. The record is from RNAcentral.